Molecule: ribosomal RNA, 668 nt
Filed under: uncultured bacterium
Lineage: Bacteria
Description: bacterial SSU rRNA
Rfam family: Bacterial small subunit ribosomal RNA
Source: RNAcentral
GGGAUAACCCGGCGAAAGUCGGACUAAUACCGCAUAAAGCAGGGGCCCCGCAUGGGGAUAUUUGCUAAAGAUUCAUCGCUGAUAGAUAGGCAUGCGUUCCAUUAGGCAGUUGGCGGGGUAACGGCCCACCAAACCGACGAUGGAUAGGGGUUCUGAGAGGAAGGUCCCCCACAUUGGUACUGAGACACGGACCAAACUCCUACGGGAGGCAGCAGUGAGGAAUAUUGGUCAAUGGGCGUAAGCCUGAACCAGCCAAGUCGCGUGAGGGAUGAAGGUUCUAUGGAUCGUAAACCUCUUUUAUAAGGGAAUAAAGUGCGGGACGUGUCCCGUUUUGUAUGUACCUUAUGAAUAAGGAUCGGCUAACUCCGUGCCAGCAGCCGCGGUAAUACGGAGGAUCCGAGCGUUAUCCGGAUUUAUUGGGUUUAAAGGGUGCGUAGGCGGCCUUUUAAGUCAGCGGUGAAAGUCUGUGGCUCAACCAUAGAAUUGCCGUUGAAACUGGGGGGCUUGAGUAUGUUUGAGGCAGGCGGAAUGCGUGGUGUAGCGGUGAAAUGCUUAGAUAUCACGCAGAACCCCGAUUGCGAAGGCAGCCUGCCAAGCCAUGACUGACGCUGAUGCACGAAAGCGUGGGGAUCAAACAGGAUUAGAUACCCUGGUAGUCCACGCAGUAA